This 465-nucleotide ribosomal RNA is filed under the name Vreelandella stevensii. Its description in RNAcentral is "partial 16S ribosomal RNA". It matches the Rfam family "Bacterial small subunit ribosomal RNA", at positions 338 to 795 of the family's 1533-position model. The record is from RNAcentral. Lineage: Bacteria; Pseudomonadati; Pseudomonadota; Gammaproteobacteria; Oceanospirillales; Halomonadaceae.
CCUACGGGCGGCUGCAGUGGGGAAUAUUGGACAAUGGGGGCAACCCUGAUCCAGCCAUGCCGCGUGUGUGAAGAAGGCCCUCGGGUUGUAAAGCACUUUCAGUGAGGAAGAACGCCUGGUGGUUAAUACCCAUCAGGAAAGACAUCACUCACAGAAGAAGCACCGGCUAACUCCGUGCCAGCAGCCGCGGUAAUACGGAGGGUGCGAGCGUUAAUCGGAAUUACUGGGCGUAAAGCGCGCGUAGGUGGCUUGAUAAGCCGGUUGUGAAAGCCCCGGGCUCAACCUGGGAACGGCAUCCGGAACUGUCAAGCUAGAGUGCAGGAGAGGAAGGUAGAAUUCCCGGUGUAGCGGUUAAAUGCGUAGAGAUCGGGAGGAAUACCAGUGUCGAAGGCGGCCUUCUGGACUGACACUGACACUGAGGUGCGAAAGCGUGGGUAGCAAACAGGAUUAGAUACCCUAGUAGUC